CGCGCAGGCGGUCCUUUAAGUCUGAUGUGAAAGCCCACGGCUCAACCGUGGAGGGUCAUUGGAAACUGGGGGACUUGAGUGCAGAAGAGGAAAGUGGAAUUCCACGUGUAGCGGUGAAAUGCGUAGAGAUGUGGAGGAACACCAGUGGCGAAGGCGACUUUCUGGUCUGUAACUGACGCUGAGGCGCGAAAGCGUGGGGAGCAAACA
This 207-nucleotide ribosomal RNA is filed under the name uncultured bacterium. RNAcentral describes it as "partial 16S ribosomal RNA". It matches the Rfam family "Bacterial small subunit ribosomal RNA", at positions 568 to 774 of the family's 1533-position model. The record is from RNAcentral.